AUUGAACGCUGGCGGCAUGCCUUACACAUGCAAGUCGAACGGCAGCACGGGAGCAAUCCUGGUGGCGAGUGGCGAACGGGUGAGUAAUAUAUCGGAACGUGCCCGGUCGUGGGGGAUAACGUAGCGAAAGCUACGCUAAUACCGCAUACGAUCUACGGAUGAAAGCGGGGGAUCGCAAGACCUCGCGCGAUUGGAGCGGCCGAUAUCAGAUUAGGUAGUCGGUGAGGUAAAGGCUCACCAAGCCGACGAUCUGUAGCUGGUCUGAGAGGACGACCAGCCAUACUGGGACUGAGACACGGCCCAGACUCCUACGGGAGGCAGCAGUGGGGAAUUUUGGACGAAUGGGCGCAAGCCUGAUCCAGCCAUUCCGCGUGCAGGACGAAGGCCUUC
Molecule: ribosomal RNA, 390 nt
Filed under: uncultured bacterium
Lineage: Bacteria
Description: bacterial SSU rRNA
Rfam family: Bacterial small subunit ribosomal RNA
Source: RNAcentral